This 379-nucleotide ribosomal RNA is filed under the name uncultured bacterium. Its description in RNAcentral is "bacterial SSU rRNA". It matches the Rfam family "Bacterial small subunit ribosomal RNA", at positions 30 to 407 of the family's 1533-position model. The record is from RNAcentral.
AUUGAACGCUGGCGGCAUGCCUUACACAUGCAAGUCGAACGGCAGCACGGGAGCAAUCCUGGUGGCGAGUGGCGAACGGGUGAGUAAUAUAUCGGAACGUGCCCAGUCGUGGGGGAUAACGUAGCGAAAGCUACGCUAAUACCGCAUACGAUCUAUGGAUGAAAGCGGGGGAUCGCAAGACCUCGCGCGAUUGGAGCGGCCGAUAUCAGAUUAGGUAGUUGGUGAGGUAAAGGCUCACCAAGCCGACGAUCUGUAGCUGGUCUGAGAGGACGACCAGCCACACUGGGACUGAGACACGGCCCAGACUCCUACGGGAGGCAGCAGUGGGGGAAUUUUGGACAAUGGGCGGCAAGCCUGAUCCAGCAAUGCCGCGUGCAGG